Long non-coding RNA from Sitophilus oryzae (rice weevil), 624 nucleotides. RefSeq lists it as uncharacterized. Lineage: Eukaryota; Metazoa; Arthropoda; Insecta; Coleoptera; Curculionidae. The transcript has 2 exons. The record is from RefSeq and is a predicted model, not a curated record.
GGUACUAGCUAUAAGUAAAUAAAUAAAUUUUAAACAUAGUUACUGUUGUAGGAAGCAACACCCUUAAGGAGAUUUUUUUUGCCAAUUUGCCUGCCUGGCCAGGUGGAAAUACCAUUUGUUUAAAAAGACGUGAACUUACUGAUGAUUUCCAUUUAAAACUAGGCAUAGAUAGUGGAGGUGGAUCUUUAAAAAUUUGUCUGUCUUUAUGUUGUUACGAAAAUCCCGAAAUAAAACAAGAAAAACAUAAAUGUACCGGAAUAAACAAACUUAUUAUAAUAGAAUUGGCUCCCAAAAUAAUAGAAACCUACAAAAAUAACAGAGCAAUGUUUGAGAUUUUGCAACUCUAUACUAUUUGUGGAGUCAGUUCUUACACAUUUGCCGCAGAUCUAAAGUUGAUAAUGAUUAUAUUGGGCCUUCAAUCUUCAUCAUCAUGCCAUCCAUGUGUUUGGUGUGAUGUUAACUCAAAAAUUUACAGUCAAGGGGAGAACUACGAUCCAUAAAAGAUAUUUCCAAAUGGAGUACAUUAUGGAACGAGGAGACAGGUGGAAAUUUAAAAGAAAGAAAAAAGUACAAGAAUUGCGUCAACAUUCCUUUAAUAACUGGUGAUGACGAUCUUCCAAUUAU